CCUACGGGGGGCAGCAGUGGGGAAUAUUGGACAAUGGGGGCAACCCUGAUCCAGCCAUGCCGCGUGUGUGAAGAAGGCCCUCGGGUUGUAAAGCACUUUCAGUGAGGAAGAACGCCUGGUGGUUAAUACCCAUCAGGAAAGACAUCACUCACAGAAGAAGCACCGGCUAACUCCGUGCCAGCAGCCGCGGUAAUACGGAGGGUGCGAGCGUUAAUCGGAAUUACUGGGCGUAAAGCGCGCGUAGGUGGCUUGAUAAGCCGGUUGUGAAAGCCCCGGGCUCAACCUGGGAACGGCAUCCGGAACUGUCAAGCUAGAGUGCAGGAGAGGAAGGUAGAAUUCCCGGUGUAGCGGUGAAAUGCGUAGAGAUCGGGAGGAAUACCAGUGGCGAAGGCGGCCUUCUGGACUGACACUGACACUGAGGUGCGAAAGCGUGGGUAGCAAACAGGAUUAAAUACCCCAGUAGUC
This 465-nucleotide ribosomal RNA is filed under the name Vreelandella stevensii. RNAcentral describes it as "partial 16S ribosomal RNA". It matches the Rfam family "Bacterial small subunit ribosomal RNA", at positions 338 to 795 of the family's 1533-position model. Lineage: Bacteria; Pseudomonadati; Pseudomonadota; Gammaproteobacteria; Oceanospirillales; Halomonadaceae. The record is from RNAcentral.